Molecule: non-coding RNA, 97 nt
Filed under: Hydrogenophaga sp.
Lineage: Bacteria; Pseudomonadati; Pseudomonadota; Betaproteobacteria; Burkholderiales; Comamonadaceae
Description: Glycine sequence
Rfam family: Glycine riboswitch aptamer
About the family: This family represents the bacterial glycine riboswitch. Glycine riboswitches usually consist of two metabolite-binding aptamers domains with similar structures in tandem.
Source: RNAcentral
GCCGCAUUGUCAGGAGAGCGUUCCUUCGAGGAACCGCCGAAGGCGCAGGAGGCUGGAACGGCCCCGAACGCUCAGGCAAAAGGACUGGCAAACGCCC